GAUUUCAUACUUCAGUAUAUCAUAUACUAAAAUGGAACACUAUGGAAACGAUUUACAUGACCCCUACACAAGAGUGAAAUGAAAGUUUGUAAGAAUUUCAAUAUUUUU
Small nuclear RNA from Grammomys surdaster, 108 nucleotides. NCBI's taxonomy places the organism in Eukaryota, Metazoa, Chordata, Mammalia, Rodentia, Muridae. The record is from RefSeq and is a predicted model, not a curated record.